UACGUAGGUGGCAAGCGUUGUCCGGAUUUACUGGGCGUAAAGGGCGUGCAGGCGGUCUGUUAAGUUCAGGGUGAAAGCUCCCGGCUCAACUGGGAGAGGUCCUUGGAUACUGGCAGACUCGAGGGAGGUAGAGGAGAGUGGAAUUCCCGGUGUAGUGGUGAUAUGCGUAGAUAUCGGGAGGAACACCAGUGGCGAAGGCGGCUCUCUGGGCCUUACCUGACGCUGAGGAGCGAAAGCGUGGGGAGCGAACAGG
Molecule: ribosomal RNA, 253 nt
Filed under: uncultured bacterium
Lineage: Bacteria
Description: partial 16S ribosomal RNA
Rfam family: Bacterial small subunit ribosomal RNA
Source: RNAcentral